This is a long non-coding RNA of Columba livia (rock pigeon), 927 nucleotides long. RefSeq lists it as uncharacterized. The transcript has 3 exons. Lineage: Eukaryota; Metazoa; Chordata; Aves; Columbiformes; Columbidae. The record is from RefSeq and is a predicted model, not a curated record.
GGGGAAAGAAGCUUUGGGGGCUCUUUAUUAUUUUAAAACUACAAAGUGCUCAGAGGGUAGGUGAUUAUUAAGGGGAAUCCCUGAAUAUAUUCUCCAGCAAAGAAGGCAGGGCUGCUGGGGCUGCUCAAGAAGAGAGCCAGCAGCCUCCUACAGCACCACUACAGGCACUGAGAGUACAUAACAUCAGAGAGCGGCUCCUCUGCCCUCCAAAACAACAACUUUCCUACCAUCUUGGAGCUGAGGUUGAUGUGGGAUAGUUUGCUGCGACUGCACCAUCACGUCUUUCUCCCUCUCAAGGCUUUGGAAAUAAAACUGGAUGUACAGCAUUCUGCAGAGGACAAGACUACAUAAAGGCAAGGUUUGAUCUAAGCCACGUUGGGGUUGAACGCUCACAUGUAAGAGUUAUGUUCACGCAGUGCUGCAUUGUGAGGAUACGUAAUAACUAAACCCAUCCAUCUCUCUCCCAGACACAUACCUGGUCUUUCUCAUGCUGUUUGUGCAGGCAGCAGUGUAAAUAAGAAGUGAGAUGAAGGCCACUGGACCAUAACUGGUGAUGCAACCAGUGAAAAAUUCUGCCAGUUGGCCACCAGGUGGUAGUAGGGCUGCAUCUGGGGAAUUAAAUCGCCCUCUGCUCUGGUCUUCGCCACUUUAAAGUGGAAUAAUCCCCUGCCCAGCUCCCUGCAGCCACCAACAUUGCAUUUGGAGGCUCCUGCAGCAGCAGAACUGACUGCUCAGGCCAUGUAUCACCUGCCUUGUACUUCACAGUCAAGAACAAUACUUGGAGCGCGUCCAUCUCCCAUCAUCCCAGCUCUUCACUGCCUUCUUCCCAUCAUGUUCUGCUUUAAUCUGAGGUCGCAGCUUCAGAAUCAGCAAGUAGCAGCACUGUUAACUUUUUUUUUAAAUAAACAGAAAUAAAUUGUGUGAAUA